GAUGAACGCUGGCGGCGUGCCUAAUACAUGCAAGUCGAGCGAACGGACGAGAAGCUUGCUCCUCUGACGUUAGCGGCGGACGGGUGAGUAACACGUGGAUAACCUACCUAUAAGACUGGGAUAACUUCGGGAAACCGGAGCUAAUACCGGAUGAUAUAUUGAACCGCAUGGUUCAAUAGUGAAAGACGGUUUUGCUGUCACUUAUAGAUGGAUCCGCGCUGCAUUAGCUAGUUGGUAAGGUAACGGCUUACCAAGGCAACGAUGCAUAGCCGACCUGAGAGGGUGAUCGGCCACACUGGAACUGAGACACGGUCCAGACUCCUACGGGAGGCAGCAGUAGGGAAUCUUCCGCAAUGGGCGAAAGCUUGACGGAGCAACGCCGCGUGAGUGAUGAAGGUCUUCGGAUCGUAAAACUCUGUUAUUAGGGAAGAACAAAUGUGUAAGUAACUAUGCACAUCUUGACGGUACCUAAUGAGAAAGCCACGGCUAACUACGUG
Molecule: ribosomal RNA, 497 nt
Filed under: uncultured bacterium
Lineage: Bacteria
Description: partial 16S ribosomal RNA
Rfam family: Bacterial small subunit ribosomal RNA
Source: RNAcentral